UACGGAGGGUGCAAGCGUUAUCCGGAUUCACUGGGUUUAAAGGGUGCGUAGGUGGCAUGGUAAGUCAGUGGUGAAAUCUCCAAGCUUAACUUGGAAACUGCCGUUGAUACUAUCAUUCUUGAAUAUCGUGGAGGUAAGCGGAAUAUGUCAUGUAGCGGUGAAAUGCUUAGAUAUGACAUAGAACACCGAUUGCGAAGGCAGCUUGCUACACGAUCAUUGACACUGAGGCACGAAAGCGUGGGGAGCAAACAGG
RNAcentral lists this ribosomal RNA (253 nucleotides) under uncultured bacterium. Its description in RNAcentral is "partial 16S ribosomal RNA". It matches the Rfam family "Bacterial small subunit ribosomal RNA", at positions 524 to 776 of the family's 1533-position model. The record is from RNAcentral.